RNAcentral lists this ribosomal RNA (465 nucleotides) under Vreelandella stevensii. RNAcentral describes it as "partial 16S ribosomal RNA". It matches the Rfam family "Bacterial small subunit ribosomal RNA", at positions 338 to 795 of the family's 1533-position model. Lineage: Bacteria; Pseudomonadati; Pseudomonadota; Gammaproteobacteria; Oceanospirillales; Halomonadaceae. The record is from RNAcentral.
CCUACGGGAGGCUGCAGUGGGGAAUAUUGGACAAUGGGGGCAACCCUGAUCCAGCCAUGCCGCGUGUGUGAAGAAGGCCCUCGGGUUGUAAAGCACUUUCAGUGAGGAAGAACGCCUGGUGGUUAAUACCCAUCAGGAAAGACAUCACUCACAGAAGAAGCACCGGCUAACUCCGUGCCAACAGCCGCGGUAAUACGGAGGGUGCGAGCGUUAAUCGGAAUUACUGGGCGUAAAGCGCGCGUAGGUGGCUUGAUAAGCCGGUUGUGAAAGCCCCGGGCUCAACCUGGGAACGGCAUCCGGAACUGUCAAGCUAGAGUGCAGGAGAGGAAGGUAGAAUUCCCGGUGUAGCGGUGAAAUGCGUAGAGAUCGGGAGGAAUACCAGUGGCGAAGGCGGCCUUCUGGACUGACACUGACACUGAGGUGCGAAAGCGUGGGUAGCAAACAGGAUUAGAUACCCGGGUAGUC